GGCUGAGAGAUCAGCUGUUCCCUUCGGGGACAGAAUGACAGGUGGUGCAUGGUUGUCGUCAGCUCGUGUCGUGAGAUGUUGGGUUAAGUCCCGCAACGAGCGCAACCCUUAUGAUCAGUUGCCAGCAUUCAGUUGGGCACUCUGGUCAGACUGCCGGUGACAAACCGGAGGAAGGCGGGGAUGACAUCAAAUCAUCAUGCCCCUUAUGACCUGGGCUACACACGUGCUACAAUGGGUGGUACAACUAGCAGCAAUUCCGCAAGGUCAAGCGAAUCUCUAAAAACCAUCACUCAAUUCAGAACUGCAAGAUGCAACUCUGCCUGCUUGAAAAUUGUAAUCCCAUAAUAACUCGCCGAUUAUUCACGCUAUCGGUUGAAUUAUCUUCCAGGGU
This 391-nucleotide ribosomal RNA is filed under the name uncultured bacterium. Its description in RNAcentral is "bacterial SSU rRNA". The stretch from base 1 to 341 matches the Rfam family "Bacterial small subunit ribosomal RNA", at positions 997 to 1335 of the family's 1533-position model. The record is from RNAcentral.